Molecule: ribosomal RNA, 832 nt
Filed under: Cutibacterium acnes
Lineage: Bacteria; Bacillati; Actinomycetota; Actinomycetes; Propionibacteriales; Propionibacteriaceae
Also listed under: 2 other names
Description: bacterial SSU rRNA
Rfam family: Bacterial small subunit ribosomal RNA
Source: RNAcentral
AGAGUUUGAUCCUGGCUCAGGAUGAACGCUGGCGGCGUGCCUAAUACAUGCAAGUCGAGCGAACAGACGAGGAGCUUGCUCCUCUGACGUUAGCGGCGGACGGGUGAGUAACACGUGGAUAACCUACCUAUAAGACUGGGAUAACUUCGGGAAACCGGAGCUAAUACCGGAUAAUAUAUUGAACCGCAUGGUUCAAUAGUGAAAGACGGUUUUGCUGUCACUUAUAGAUGGAUCCGCGCCGCAUUAGCUAGUUGGUAAGGUAACGGCUUACCAAGGCAACGAUGCGUAGCCGACCUGAGAGGGUGAUCGGCCACACUGGAACUGAGACACGGUCCAGACUCCUACGGGAGGCAGCAGUAGGGAAUCUUCCGCAAUGGGCGAAAGCCUGACGGAGCAACGCCGCGUGAGUGAUGAAGGUCUUCGGAUCGUAAAACUCUGUUAUUAGGGAAGAACAAAUGUGUAAGUAACUAUGCACGUCUUGACGGUACCUAAUCAGAAAGCCACGGCUAACUACGUGCCAGCAGCCGCGGUAAUACGUAGGUGGCAAGCGUUAUCCGGAAUUAUUGGGCGUAAAGCGCGCGUAGGCGGUUUUUUAAGUCUGAUGUGAAAGCCCACGGCUCAACCGUGGAGGGUCAUUGGAAACUGGAAAACUUGAGUGCAGAAGAGGAAAGUGGAAUUCCAUGUGUAGCGGUGAAAUGCGCAGAGAUAUGGAGGAACACCAGUGGCGAAGGCGACUUUCUGGUCUGUAACUGACGCUGAUGUGCGAAAGCGUGGGGAUCAAACAGGAUUAGAUACCCUGGUAGUCCACGCCGUAAACGAUGAGUGCUAAGUG